GGCUGCUUUGACUGCACAUAUACUAAAAUCGGGACAUGAAGGAGAUUAGCAUAGUCCUUGCUCAAGGAUGACACACAAAUUUGGGAAGCAUUUCAUAUAUUU
Molecule: non-coding RNA, 102 nt
Organism: Otolemur garnettii (small-eared galago)
Lineage: Eukaryota; Metazoa; Chordata; Mammalia; Primates; Galagidae
Source: Rfam